RNAcentral lists this ribosomal RNA (405 nucleotides) under Spongiactinospora gelatinilytica. Its description in RNAcentral is "Bacterial large subunit ribosomal RNA". It matches the Rfam family "Bacterial large subunit ribosomal RNA", at positions 1205 to 1605 of the family's 2925-position model. The record is from Rfam by way of RNAcentral. Lineage: Bacteria; Bacillati; Actinomycetota; Actinomycetes; Streptosporangiales; Streptosporangiaceae.
GAUGCCACCAUUAGGUGGCGUGAUAGGAGAGCGUUCUAAGGGCAAUGAAGGCAGACCGUGAGGACUGUUGGAGCGCUUAGAAGUGAGAAUGCCGGUAUGAGUAGCGAAAGACAGGUGAGAAUCCUGUCCACCGAAUGACUAAGGUUUCCUGGGGAAGGCUCGUCCACCCAGGGUUAGUCGGGACCUAAGGCGAGGCUGAGAAGCGUAGUCGAUGGCUAACAGGUUGAGAUUCCUGUACCAGUUGUAAUGCGUUUGACCGAUGGAGGGACGCAGGAGGCUACCAGAUGCGCACUGAUGGAAAUGUGCGUGCAAGCAGUAAGUCUUGAGAAGAGUGAAAUGCUUUUCUCUCUAAGGACAAGCUGUGAUGCGGAUCGAAAUAAAGUAGAGAAGUCUGAGAUGUCACAC